Molecule: ribosomal RNA, 440 nt
Filed under: uncultured bacterium
Lineage: Bacteria
Description: partial 16S ribosomal RNA
Rfam family: Bacterial small subunit ribosomal RNA
Source: RNAcentral
CCUACGGGCGGCUGCAGUGGGGAAUAUUGGACAAUGGGGGCAACCCUGAUCCAGCCAUGCCGCGUGAGUGAUGAAGGCCCUAGGGUUGUAAAGCUCUUUUGUGCGGGAAGAUAAUGACGGUACCGCAAGAAUAAGCCCCGGCUAACUUCGUGCCAGCAGCCGCGGUAAUACGAAGGGGGCUAGCGUUGCUCGGAAUCACUGGGCGUAAAGGGUGCGUAGGCGGGUCUUUAAGUCAGAGGUGAAAGCCUGGAGCUCAACUCCAGAACUGCCUUUGAUACUGAGGAUCUUGAGUUCGGGAGAGGUGAGUGGAACUGCGAGUGUAGAGGUGAAAUUCGUAGAUAUUCGCAAGAACACCAGUGGCGAAGGCGGCUCACUGGCCCGAUACUGACGCUGAGGCACGAAAGCGUGGGGAGCAAACAGGAUUAGAUACCCCUGUAGUC